RNAcentral lists this ribosomal RNA (253 nucleotides) under uncultured bacterium. RNAcentral's name for it is "partial 16S ribosomal RNA". It matches the Rfam family "Bacterial small subunit ribosomal RNA", at positions 524 to 776 of the family's 1533-position model. The record is from RNAcentral.
GACGAACCGUACAAACGUUAUUCGGAAUCAUUGGGCUUAAAGGGUGCGUAGGCGGUGCGGAAAGUUGGGUGUGAAAUCCCUCGGCUCAACCGAGGAAUUGCGCCCAAAACUACCGUGCUCGAGGAAGACAGAGGUGAGUGGAACUUAGGGUGGAGCGGUGAAAUGCGUUGAUAUCCUAAGGAACACCAGUGGCGAAAGCGACUCACUGGGUCUUUUCUGACGCUGAGGCACGAAAGCUAGGGGAGCAAACGGG